This 520-nucleotide ribosomal RNA is filed under the name uncultured Glomus. Its description in RNAcentral is "SSU rRNA". It matches the Rfam family "Eukaryotic small subunit ribosomal RNA", at positions 569 to 1091 of the family's 1831-position model. The record is from RNAcentral. Lineage: Eukaryota; Fungi; Glomeromycota; Glomeromycetes; Glomerales; Glomeraceae.
AGCAGCCGCGGUAAUUCCAGCUCCAAUAGCGUAUAUUAAAGUUGUUACAGUUAAAAAGCUCGUAGUUGAAUUUCGGGGUCAGUAAGUUGGUCGUGCCACUGGUAUGUACUGGCUUUACUGAUUCCUCCUUCUUGUAGAACCGUAAUGCCAUUAAGUUGGUGUUGCGGGAAAACAGGACUGUUACUUUGAAAAAAUUAGAGUGUUUAAAGCAAGCUAACGCUUGAAUACAUUAGCAUGGAAUAAUGAAAUAGGACGAACGAUCCUAUUUUGUUGGUUUCUAGGAUUGACGUAAUGAUUAAUAGAGAUAGUUGGGGGCAUUAGUAUUCAAUUGUCAGAGGUGAAAUUCUUGGAUUUAUUGAAGACUAACUACUGCGAAAGCAUUUGCCAAGGAUGUUUUCAUUAAUCAAGAACGAAGGUUAGGGGAUCGAAGACGAUCAGAUACCGUCGUAGUCUUAACCAUAAACUAUGCCGACUAGGGAUCGGAUGAUGUUAAUUUUUAAUGACUCAUUCGGCGCCUUAC